GGGGGUUUAGUAUAAUGGCAUUACAGCGGUCUCCAAAACCGCCCAUAAGGGUUCGAUUCCUUUAACCCCCGCCA
RNAcentral lists this transfer RNA (74 nucleotides) under Mycoplasma sp. Mirounga ES2805-ORL. Its description in RNAcentral is "tRNA-Trp". It matches the Rfam family "tRNA". Rfam says of the family: Transfer RNA (tRNA) molecules are approximately 80 nucleotides in length. Their secondary structure includes four short double-helical elements and three loops (D, anti-codon, and T loops). Lineage: Bacteria; Bacillati; Mycoplasmatota; Mollicutes; Mycoplasmatales; Mycoplasmataceae. The record is from RNAcentral.